AACGAACGCUGGCGGCAUGCCUAACACAUGCAAGUCGAACGAGACCUUCGGGUCUAGUGGCGCACGGGUGCGUAACGCGUGGGAACCUGCCCUUAGGUUCGGAAUAACUCCCCGAAAGGGGUGCUAAUACCGGAUAAUGUCUUCGGACCAAAGAUUUAUCGCCUUUGGAUGGGCCCGCGUUGGUUUAGCUAGUUGGUAGGGUAAAAGCCUACCAAGGCGACGAUCCAUAGCUGGUCUGAGAGGAUGAUCAGCCACACUGGGACUGAGACACGGCCCAGACUCCUACGGGAGGCAGCAGUGGGGAAUAUUGGACAAUCGGCGAAAGCCUGAUCCAGCAAUGCCGCGUGAGUGAUGAAGGCCUUAGGGUUGUAAAGCUCUUUUACCCGGGAUGAUAAUGACAGUACCGGGAGAAUAAGCUCCGGCUAACUCCGUG
RNAcentral lists this ribosomal RNA (433 nucleotides) under uncultured bacterium. RNAcentral describes it as "partial 16S ribosomal RNA". It matches the Rfam family "Bacterial small subunit ribosomal RNA", at positions 29 to 507 of the family's 1533-position model. The record is from RNAcentral.